Culicoides brevitarsis is the source of this 64-nucleotide non-coding RNA. NCBI's taxonomy places the organism in Eukaryota, Metazoa, Arthropoda, Insecta, Diptera, Ceratopogonidae. The record is from the annotation of a RefSeq genome assembly.
AUUGUUUUGACAGAUUUGAAUGUGAUAAAUUUAGAAUUUAUAAAUGUAUAAUAUACAAACAAUA